GCAGCCCGCCUCUCUCAGUACCCUGCGCCGCUCUUCUCAGUACCCAUCCCGCAGACAGGAAAUGACGCAACACCGCAGCUCUCAGUCCCCUCAGACCGGAAAUGUCGUCAACCCUUGCGACGAAAACAAGUUACGUUAUUUCACCUCUCGCGAAAAAAACACGCUGCAAGAUCACCACCCCAUUGGGAAGAAACUAAAUCACGACCCCCAAAUGGUAGUCUUCCCAUGCAGAUACAGGGAUGUCACACAGAUCCAAAUGGAAACAUCGAACACUGUAAAACCCACUGUGCAGACAGGACCAAUGGUGACAAUAUAAGACCAUGUCGAGUUUCAUGGACGGUUCAAACUCAUCCUGCCCAGGAACGGCUGAUAUGAAAUGCAUAUUUAUAACUUGUCUAACAAGUAGCUCAUUCAAAGAAAACGUUGACAGUCAAUCAACAGGGGGACAUGGAAAGAGAGGAUUGGAAGUGAAAUAGAGGGUUUUUCGGGACAGCCAUAGGGGAAGGACUGUGGCAUCUUCAUGUUGAUGUUAGACUGAUAUGCCAACUCUGAGGAAGUGGUGGUGUAUAUUGCUAGCGGACAAUUUCAAACUUGGGUGCAUGGUGAGCCACAGGAAAGAGUUUGCCCAUUGGACAGAUAAGGCAAAAGCAUUACUGCAGGGUGAAGUGCCACCAGUCUAUCAGCUACAGAAGUGAAAUUUGAAUAUAAUUGCUGAGGAAGAGGUGCAACCACAGCUCCUUCAAGUUAGUGGUGGCCCACUCCAAAAAGAUAUGACGGGAAAAAAAUGUUUUGGUAAAAGGACUGUGCAAGACUGCACAAAAGCCUCGGACAGGGGUGGGGUGGGGGGGGGAUUCAUGCAGUAGGAGUUCCCAAGCAUCCUGCAGAUGGAAGAGGAUGAGCACGAACUACAAUGUCUUGGAGCCAUUCAAGUUCUGUUUCAACCAUCUGGAAGAUGGAUUUACCUUUUUUGAGGAGAUUGUUGACCAAAGAAAAUAUCUGGUAUUCUCUCAAUAAUAAUAAAAAAAUAAUAAAACUAAAAAAAUAAAGUUUACCACAUUAGAACCGGUUGUAUUGAGUUCAUUUUUCUACACUUAUAAAUUAGUUGUUUUUUUUCUUUUAUCCCAGAUGUUAGUUGUAGGUAGUUUUAAUUACCUGUGAUGAAGGCGGGAGUGCUUGCCGAAAAAUGUCAGGUAAUUAAAACAACCUACAACUAUUGUCUGGGAUAAAAGAAAAAAACAACUAACACAUGAUAACUAUUUUGUCAUUUCUGUUUGAAAUAAAGGUGCCUUUCCUGGAGCAGAAAGUUUAAUAUAGUUUCUGAAUUAGUUAAUUAAGAUCUUCACUCACAUGAAUGAAUUUAAGUAGCAAAAUGAAAGACAAAAUUGGUUUGGUUGCAACAUGGAGAGAAUAUUACGUUUUUGAUACAUUAAAUUGUAAUGAAGCUAUAUUAAUGUGUCCGUUCAUAAAAAUGUAAGGAUGACAGCAAUUUCUAAUAAUUCUCAAUUGGAGUAUAUUUUACAAUUGACAAACUAAAGUACACACUGUGAUAGGUCACAUGCGAUCUUUCAGUCACCAAUUAAACCUUUAUUACAGUAGUGUGUAUUUUAAUUUUGAUGUACUGUAACCAUGUUUUUCAUUUUGGUAAAAUCACCAGGCUUUAACAAACUGACCGCGCUUAAAGAGUUAAUCUCCCGAUUUCACCAAAUCAAUUUAAGGAGCAUGGAAAUAAAUUAUUAUUUAAAUAAUAAUGAGUGAUGCUGAAACCGAAAAUAAAAGACGUGCGCAAAGAAAAGUAAACUAGUAUUUACGUUCGAAUGGACGCUAACUAUUACGAUAAAACCGGAAGCUCGGAGCUCGAGCGCUGUUUCAUGUUGUCAUUUCCGGUCUGAGAGCUGCGAUAUUGCGUCACUUCCUGUCUGCGGGAUGGGUACUGAGACGAGCGGCGCAGGGUACUGAGAG
Molecule: long non-coding RNA, 1959 nt
Organism: Corythoichthys intestinalis (scribbled pipefish)
Lineage: Eukaryota; Metazoa; Chordata; Actinopteri; Syngnathiformes; Syngnathidae
Exons: 10
Source: RefSeq, a predicted model, not a curated record